RNAcentral lists this long non-coding RNA (199 nucleotides) under Gossypium raimondii (Peruvian cotton). Its description in RNAcentral is "long non-coding RNA (GRAI_LNC004559)". Lineage: Eukaryota; Viridiplantae; Streptophyta; Magnoliopsida; Malvales; Malvaceae. The record is from RNAcentral.
GCUAAUGGCCAUGUCCAUAUUCAGCCACUUGGGACACCAAUGGGCAGCUUAAUGAUGAAGAAAAAUUCAGCUGGAUGAAUUUGGCUGUAGGGAGGUGAAUGGCUUUGUCUAAAUUCGGCCAAGGCUUGAAGCACAUCUCCAAUAGAUGCCUCUUGGUCGAAUGGUCACCUAGGAGAUUCAAAGGAUCAGCAAAAUUCAU